This 47-nucleotide non-coding RNA is filed under the name Trichobilharzia regenti. The record is from RNAcentral. Lineage: Eukaryota; Metazoa; Platyhelminthes; Trematoda; Strigeidida; Schistosomatidae.
AUCUAGUUGACGAGUCUCAAAGACAGGACGAAAUGCACAUCCUGGAU